GUGAAAUGAUGCAUGUGUUAAGUGUGUCACCUACAUAAAACGUUUGGAAAGCUCUAUAAUAAACAAUACUUGGUCAGAUCAUAGUAUUCGUAUGCUAUUAUACAAAAGAUAAAUUUAGAUUCAAUAGCAAACCACAAUGGAGACUUAAUGAAUAUUUACUUGUGAAAGAAAACAAAAUAUACAUUUCAAAAUUAGUAUUGUUG
Molecule: non-coding RNA, 203 nt
Organism: Pelobates cultripes (western spadefoot toad)
Lineage: Eukaryota; Metazoa; Chordata; Amphibia; Anura; Pelobatidae
Source: the annotation of a GenBank genome assembly